Molecule: small nucleolar RNA, 134 nt
Organism: Eptesicus fuscus (big brown bat)
Lineage: Eukaryota; Metazoa; Chordata; Mammalia; Chiroptera; Vespertilionidae
Product: small nucleolar RNA SNORA42/SNORA80 family
Exons: 1
Source: RefSeq, a predicted model, not a curated record
GCAUUGGUUUGGAUUUGUGGCAGGCCCAUGCCCCUGGGUCUCUCAUAGUGUCCCAUGCCAGAGCACGCUGUGACCUUGAAACAUAGCCUGGCCUCUCUCCGUAGGCUGCAGGCACUGGAGCAGGUUACACAGUG